GCGAAGCGAUAUGUGGAGCGGUGAAAGGCUCAGUAACGGGCGAUUUAUUUGAUCUCCUGGGACGGACAACAUCGGGAAACUGAUGGGAAAACGUCUAAGUUGCAGUUAAAUGAUUGUGACGUAAACCAUAGUGUGCAGGAGAGUAAGAUGCCAUCCUAUCAGUUAGUAAGUAGGGUAAGGGCCUACUUAGACGAAGACGGGUACGGGGAAUGAGGGUUUGAUUCCGGAGAGGGAGCCUGAGAGAUGGCUACCAGGACCAAGGUCAGCAGCAGGCGCGAAAAUUAUCGAAGCCCGCCUAGGGGCGAUAGUGAGGAGACGUGUAUACGAAGUACGUGUAAAGACCGUACUAAUAACUGGAGGUCAAGUCUGGUGCCAGCAUCCGCGGUAAUUCCAGCUCCAGGGGUGUCUAUGAUGAUUGCUGCGAUUAAAAAGUCCGUAGUCGAGCUGACUGACUGACCUGCAAUGUGAUUGAUUAAAGAACGAGCAGGGUUAGGAAAGCAGAGGAUUAGGAGCGACCGAGGGCUAGAGUAUUGAAUGGCGAGAGGUGAAAUUUGAUGACCCAUUCAGGAGUGACAAAGGCGAAGGCACUAGUCAAGGGCGAAUCCGAUGAUCAAGGACGUAGGCUAGAGUUUCGAAAACGAUUAGAGACCGGAGUAGUUCUAGCAGUAAACUAUGCCGACGCCGUGGUAUUAGGCUAUAGUAUUGCGGAAGAGAAAUCAAGUAAGGCUUUGGGGAGAGUACGCGCGCAAGCGAUAAAUUUAAAGGAAAUUGACGGA
RNAcentral lists this ribosomal RNA (776 nucleotides) under Dictyocoela roeselum. Its description in RNAcentral is "partial small subunit ribosomal RNA". It matches the Rfam family "Microsporidia small subunit ribosomal RNA", at positions 60 to 794 of the family's 1311-position model. Lineage: Eukaryota; Fungi; Microsporidia. The record is from RNAcentral.